Mastomys coucha (southern multimammate mouse) is the source of this 257-nucleotide long non-coding RNA. RefSeq lists it as uncharacterized. The transcript has 2 exons. Lineage: Eukaryota; Metazoa; Chordata; Mammalia; Rodentia; Muridae. The record is from RefSeq and is a predicted model, not a curated record.
GUCGCUCUCCUUGAAAGCUUAGCAAAGUCCUAGAGCCAGGCCUCCAAAGUCCGGGAGAACGAGAAGAACGAGAAGAGUGUCAAUGUUAAGGAGACUUGAAGUCCUGGCUGCCAGUGGGAUGACUCUCAGGAGUAGCAGAUCCAGUGACUCUGGAAAGACCCAAGAUUCCCCCGAACCCCGGUUUAUGGCACGAAGACAACUGCAUCAACUCAGACAGACUCUGGAGACUAAAAUAAAAACAAAUCUCCCCAAGCUAA